Molecule: RNA transcript, 2661 nt
Organism: Eleginops maclovinus (Patagonian blennie)
Lineage: Eukaryota; Metazoa; Chordata; Actinopteri; Perciformes; Eleginopidae
Gene: mbpb
Gene name: myelin basic protein b
Exons: 9
Source: RefSeq, a predicted model, not a curated record
CCCCACCCCUUACAAACAACAUCAUCCCCACUGUACCUAAAUCAGGAAGCACCACCGAGACACGUUUUUUUUCGUUUUUGUGUUACGGAGACACUUUGGUGAACAAGACAACGGCGAACCAUAAAGGGUGAAAAGGCGUUGUUGUUGAUGCUGUUGACGACCACCGUCGAAAGAAGACUGACAGUUGGUUACAUCCAGUACAAGGCUCAGCUGUGGAUGCAUUUGACACAGACUAACCGGAGAAGGUCUCGGUCAGCAGCAUGGGCCAGCAUCUAGGAAAGAGAGAGGCUCCCACCGACAGCAAGGCUCCGUCACCUGAACCUGAAGCAGAGCUGACAACAACAAUAACGACAACAACGACAACAACAACAGCAGCAGUAGUAGCAGAACCUGCACCUGCACCUGAACCUGCACCUGCAACUGAACCUGAACCUGAACCUGAACCUGAACCAGAACCAGAACCACAAGAUGAAGUCUUUGGCCUGGGUGAGGCAGAUGCGGACCAGAACAAUGGUUGCGUCUCGGAGAAGCCGGCGGUGACUGACUCCACGGGCGCUGAGGGCCCCCACCAGCCCUGGCCCGACGCCAGCACAGCUGACCCUGACGCGGCCACGCCACGCCCCCACCUGGCCCGCCUCUUCUCCCGAGAUGCCCCGGGCCGAGAGGACAACACCUUCAAAGAGCGACCCUCCGAAUCGGAUGAGCUACAGACCAUCCAGGAACACAGCGGAGCUUCAGAGUGCGGGUCAGAUAGCCCCGAACAGGACCUAGACUAGGCUAGCUUUUUUUGGUUCCCUCCCUCCCUCUCUUUUUUUCUCUCUUCUCCCUCCUCUAUUUUUUCACUCUCUCAUUUAAGAGAGCAACACGAACCCUACAUUUUGACAAAUACCGACCACUACUACAAACAUACCAUGGCAUCCGCAAGCCAGAAGAAGAAGGCCCCUGGACUCCUGGAUCAGAUCGGAACCUUCUUCGGAGGGGACAAGAAGAGGAAGAGCAAGGGAUCUUUCCGAGGGGCCCUCUCUCCAGCCCCUCAGAAAGCCUCCGGGGCUGCCCCACGUAAGCGCGGAGCAGAGAACGCUGUGGUCCACUUCUUCCGCACGAUCGUCUCCCCUGCCCCUCCCAAGUCUAGGAAGUCACAGUCUGCUAAAGCCAAGAAGGCCAGUGCAGGAGACGGCAAAGGCACCCUGACUAGGAUCUUCAAAAUGUGAUGAUAUCAGCAGCAGAGGAAGCAGGAGUGCUUCUCCAGCCAAACGCUGAAGUCCCCCUCUAGCACCCCUUCCAACAGCACAAGGGCACGUUCAAGAUCACGGGGUUAAAGAGGGGAAAAGGAGGAAGAAAAGGAGGAAAUCUUGUCAUACCGUAAACUCACCUUCCCCUCCACCUCUGAUAACACUCUAACAUACGCUAACCCCCUCAUCUCAUGUCCCCCUACCCUUUUGGCUGGUACAUAGCGACACAAUCUGUUGCCCACCCCUCCCCUGCAUGCGUUGUGCUGAGUCUGUGAAGUCAUCAUCCUUAGCGUGAACUUUUUGCUGAUCCUGCUCACAUGUGCAGCCCGAAUGACCCUCCCCACAUCUGCGAUGGCUCUCUUUAAUUGUGCUUGAGUUCAAUGUGGAUGUCUUGUAUGGUUUCUUUAACAAAUAAGGUAGAUAAACCAAAGCACACCCGGAGCAGUUGAUGGAUUAUGGCCGGUGCAAGUCCGAUUGACUUGACCGUUAUUGCCGCUUUAUGGUUUGGCGAAAAGUCGGGGUGUUUUUUGUUUUUUAAAGAACGGUUUUGUGUCUCGUCACACUGUCUUUGUCUGUCCCCUAAACCUUUUCUGUGAACCAAAACUGAUUCAUUAAUCAAUUCUUAUGGAGAGCCAUGUCUUUUCAUUCAAACCAUUGUGUCUUAGCUGUAGUUAAGUGUCCUGUCCUAAAUGUGAUGUCGAUCUAUGUUUGUCAUUAGGGCCUAAGGUUGGCUUUGGUAAAAAUGUUAUUGCUAAACCUUCUAAAUCAUAUUUUCCGCAAUGAUCACUGAAGAAACCAACACAUAAACAAAUGAUUUCUAAUGUAAUUAUUUUUCAGUCCAUGAGCUAAUAAUAUACACUAAUCUCCUCUUCAUAUAUAACCUCAAUUUCAUGUCCACCUUUAGCCAGACUCUUAUUCUGAAAGGUGUUGUUGCUAGAGCAUGAUGUCGGAUUCAGAACCUCUCAUUUUAGCUUUAGUCUAGUCUCUCCUUUGUUGUCGCUGUUUUUUUCUCAUGGCACAAAUACUGUAAAUUACAUCCACCAAAACCCUUGUGCCUUUCCUCCUGACUACCAAAAAACUGUGCUGUGUUGCCUUCCUGUGUAAGAUAAAAAACACAAUUUCAAAAAGGUGCUCUGUAACUAACUUUGGAGUGACACAAUAUAAGAUGUUUUUUUGGGAAUGUUGCAAGUUUUCUCAGAAAUAAAAGCUCAGCACUAGCACUUGUGCUGUUCAAAAUAUCCAUUGUUCAUAUGUGUUCAAAAGCAUCUCUCCCACUGUUUGUGUGCUUGAGCCUCGUGAGUGCUAUGUAGUGUUGUGUCUGAAUGGAUCCUGUGGAUGAAUGUAAAGUUCCUCUUCAUUAUUGUAUGUGUAAUUAAACAUGACCAGCCACUAAACUGAGAAUAAAAAAAAAUAAAAAUCAUAAAACCAA